RNAcentral lists this non-coding RNA (153 nucleotides) under bovine gut metagenome. The record is from RNAcentral.
UGAAGCUUAGAAGUUCUUGAUAUUCUGUCAGAAUAUAAGCCAUGUUUGAACACGAUGUUCAAACAAACCGCCAGUGAGACAUGGAUGUCGAAUUGGCGGUGGUGGCGAAUGAUAUAAAAAUGAAAAUCAGAAUAUCUAGAACUUCUUGGCUUC